Gloeomargarita lithophora Alchichica-D10 is the source of this 355-nucleotide non-coding RNA. It matches the Rfam family "Bacterial RNase P class A". From Rfam's summary of the family: Ribonuclease P (RNase P) is a ubiquitous endoribonuclease, found in archaea, bacteria and eukarya as well as chloroplasts and mitochondria. Its best characterised activity is the generation of mature 5'-ends of tRNAs by cleaving the 5'-leader elements of precursor-tRNAs. NCBI's taxonomy places the organism in Bacteria, Bacillati, Cyanobacteriota, Cyanophyceae, Gloeomargaritales, Gloeomargaritaceae. The record is from Rfam.
GAGAGUAGGUGCGGCGAUUGCGGAUGUUUUGCAUCUGAGGAAAGUCCGGGCUCUCGAAAGACCAAAACCGCUGGGUAACCCCCAGGACAGGUGACUGUGCGGAAAGUGCCACAGAAACAUACCGCCGAUGGCUGGCAAUUGUCAGUACAGGUAAGGGUGCAAGGGUGUGGUAAGAGCGCACCAGCAGUAUCGAGAGGUACUGGCUCGGUAAACCCCGGUUGAGAGCAAGGUGGAGGGACAAGGGUUGGUCUUUUGCCCGUCCCGUGCCCAGGAACCGCUUGAGGUGGCGGGCAACCGUCAUCCCAGAUAGAUAAUCGCCCUCGAACAGAACCCGGCUUACGGCCUAGUCUCCCCA